RNAcentral lists this ribosomal RNA (253 nucleotides) under uncultured bacterium. RNAcentral describes it as "partial 16S ribosomal RNA". It matches the Rfam family "Bacterial small subunit ribosomal RNA", at positions 524 to 776 of the family's 1533-position model. The record is from RNAcentral.
UACGUAGGUGGCAAGCGUUGUCCGGAUUUACUGGGCGUAAAGAGCGCGCAGGCGGUCGUUCAAGUCGCGUGUGAAAGCCCCCGGCUUAACUGGGGAGGGUCACGCGAUACUGAUCGACUCGAAGGCAGGAGAGGGUAGUGGAAUUCCCGGUGUAGUGGUGAAAUGCGUAGAUAUCGGGAGGAACACCAGUGGCGAAGGCGACUACCUGGCCUGUUCUUGACGCUGAGGCGCGAAAGCUAGGGGAGCAAACGGG